GCUUGUUGGUGGGGUAAUGGCCUACCAAGGCGACGAUCUCUAGCUGGUCUGAGAGGAUGAUCAGCCACACCGGAACUGAGACACGGUCCGGACUCCUACGGGAGGCAGCAGUGGGGAAUAUUGGACAAUGGGCGCAAGCCUGAUCCAGCCAUGCCGCGUGUGUGAUGAAGGCCCUAGGGUUGUAAAGCUCUUUCAGCGAGGAGGAUAAUGACGUUACUCGUAGAAGAAGCCCCGGCUAACUUCGUGCCAGCAGCCGCGGUAAUACGAAGGGGGCUAGCGUUGUUCGGAAUUACUGGGCGUAAAGCGCGCGUAGG
Molecule: ribosomal RNA, 314 nt
Filed under: Kryptoperidinium foliaceum
Lineage: Eukaryota; Dinophyceae; Peridiniales; Kryptoperidiniaceae
Description: partial Bacterial small subunit ribosomal RNA
Rfam family: Bacterial small subunit ribosomal RNA
Source: RNAcentral